Molecule: ribosomal RNA, 491 nt
Filed under: uncultured bacterium
Lineage: Bacteria
Description: partial 16S ribosomal RNA
Rfam family: Bacterial small subunit ribosomal RNA
Source: RNAcentral
AGUGAACGCUGGCGGUAGGCCUAACACAUGCAAGUCGAACGGCAGCACAGUAAGAGCUUGCUCUUACGGGUGGCGAGUGGCGGACGGGUGAGGAAUACAUCGGAAUCUACUUUUUCGUGGGGGAUAACGUAGGGAAACUUACGCUAAUACCGCAUACGACCUACGGGUGAAAGCAGGGGAUCUUCGGACCUUGCGCGAUUGAAUGGGCCGAUGUCGGAUUAGCUAGUUGGCGGGGUAAAGGCCCACCAAAGCGACGAUCCGUAGCUGGUCUGAGAGGAUGAUCAGCCACACUGGAACUGAGACACGGUCCAGACUCCUACGGGAGGCAGCAGUGGGGAAUAUUGGACAAUGGGCGCAAGCCUGAUCCAGCCAUACCGCGUGGGUGAAGAAGGCCUUCGGGUUGUAAAGCCCUUUUGUUGGGAAAGAAAAGCAGCAGGUUAAUACCCCGCUGUUCUGACGGUACCCAAAGAAUAAGCACCGGCUAACUUCGU